GAUGAAGAACGCAGCGAAAUGCGAUAAGUAAUGUGAAUUGCAGAAUUCAGUGAAUCAUCGAAUCUUUGAACGCACAUUGCGCCCCUUGGUAUUCCGAGGGGCAUGCCUGUUCGAGCGUCAUUAUAACCCUCAAGCUCAGCUUGGUGUUGGGGCCUGCUGCACUGGCAGCCCUUAAAAUCAGUGGCGGCGCCAUCUGGCUCUAAGCGUAGUAAUUCUUCUCGCUAUGGAGUCCUGGUGGAUGCUUGCCAUCAACCCCCAAUUUUUCUAUGGUUGACCUCGCAUCAGGUAGGGAUACCCGCUGAACUUAAGCAUAUCAAUAAGCGGAGGA
RNAcentral lists this unclassified non-coding RNA (328 nucleotides) under soil metagenome. RNAcentral's name for it is "partial contains 5.8S ribosomal RNA, internal transcribed spacer 2, and large subunit ribosomal RNA". The stretch from base 1 to 120 matches the Rfam family "5.8S ribosomal RNA", at positions 35 to 154 of the family's 154-position model. The record is from RNAcentral.